This 448-nucleotide ribosomal RNA is filed under the name uncultured bacterium. Its description in RNAcentral is "partial 16S ribosomal RNA". It matches the Rfam family "Bacterial small subunit ribosomal RNA", at positions 29 to 523 of the family's 1533-position model. The record is from RNAcentral.
AGCGAACGCUGGCGGCAGGCUUAACACAUGCAAGUCGAACGGGCACUUCGGUGCUAGUGGCAGACGGGUGAGUAACACGUGGGAACGCACCUUUCGGUUCGGAAUAAUACAGGGAAACUUGUACUAAUACCGGAUACGCCCUUCGGGGAAAGAUUUAUUGCCGAUAGAUCGGCCCGCGUCUGAUUAGCUAGUUGGUGAGGUAAUGGCUCACCAAGGCGACGAUCAGUAGCUGGUCUGAGAGGAUGAUCAGCCACACUGGGACUGAGACACGGCCCAGACUCCUACGGGAGGCAGCAGUGGGGAAUAUUGGACAAUGGGCGAAAGCCUGAUCCAGCCAUGCCGCGUGAGUGAUGAAGGCCUUAGGGUUGUAAAGCUCUUUUGUCCGGGAAGAUAAUGACUGUACCGGAAGAAUAAGCCCCGGCUAACUUCGUGCCAGCCGCCGCUGUAA